UUAUUUAAUUCAGUUUCAUGACCAUGUGUCAUAGUGUGUUCUUAUUUAAUUCAGUUUCAUGACCAUGUGUCAUAGUGUGUUCUUAUUUAAUUCAGUUUCAUGACCAUGUGUCAUAGCGUGUUCUUAUUUGAUUUCAUUGAAUGAACGUCUACCUUUUCUGACUGUCUGGUUCUCACCGUUUACCUAAUGGGUGGAUUUAGGGCAGGCAGUAAAAUGUGGGCCUUCGUUCGUACCAAAGAGCCGUUGAAAAGAAUCACUAAAGCAGAGGGAAUUUCAGAGAGGCAUUUGAUGUGACAUUGCGCUAACAUGAUCUACUGGCUUCACACUUUUAGUCGUCUUUUAUGAAUGCAAGAAUUAAGCUGAUUUGGCUCCAUUUUACAUUUACAUUUAGUCAUUUAGCAGACGCUUUUAUCCAAAGCGACUUACAAAGAUGUAUACACAUUUUACAUUUACACUGAUGGCACACUGCACAUCAGGAGCAAUUAGGGGUUCAGUGUCUUGCUCAAGGACUCUUCGACAGGGAAUCGAACUAGCAACCUUCUGAUUACUAAACGACUUCUCUACCUCCUGUACCACUGUCGCCCAUUUGUGCGGAGCAGAUAGAAUGACCACUAGUGAUGGGCAUAGUGAGGCUUUGUGAAACACUGAAACAUUCGAAGCAAUUGUGCUGGAAAUUGUACCAAGGUCACCUUUUGAUAGUGCUAUUCUGUGAGACAAUUGUUUCUGUGUUUGGUCUACAGCGGAUUCAAGUGUGUGAGUGAACACAGCGAAUAAGGCUCAGAGAACAUGAAGAGCAGUAGGGGAACAUAGAGGAACGUCGUCUCACAUUGGUCAUCUCUAAAGGGCCCAGGGCACAAGUUAAGUUAAGUCAAGUUAGAUCUCUUUAGAUCUUGUUUUACGUUAACAUGUCUGCUGUAGCCUACAGUGCGAUUGGAAUUGGGUGUAAGACACACUCCCUCACCAACGAUUUACUAAAUUGCUGCCUCCAAACCAACCAAAUUGUGCCAAGAGAAUGGCUACUUUACUUGCCAUCCACUUGCAGGCAUAGCAGUAAACAGUACUGGCAAAGGCAUGUAUUUAUCAGCGGAUUCUGUGAUUGGAGAAGAUUUGUGCAUAGGUCUGAACACAGAGGCAAAGUUGACGCUUCUCUUGCCCAACAGUGUGAGGCAGAACAACAGUAUCAGAAAGACUUUGACCUGUGAUUGCGGUCAUAACGUUUUUGGGAGUGAGAGGACUACCAGCGAACUGCUGGGGUUGGCACACAACAAACCUAUUUGGGUCGGAUUGAACUGAUAGCAGAGUUUGACCCCUUUCUAAAGGAGCGCAUUGAGAAGAAUGGAAGAGGGAAGCCUCCUAUUUGUCUUCAAAUGUAUAUGAACAAUUCAUUUCAUUAACUAAACUGAGCCAAGCGAUAGCAGAACAAAUCAGAAAAGGCUAAAUAUUUCUCUGUAAAAAUGUAUGCCAGCUUUAGCAGUACACGUAGAGCAGCUCACGUUUGUUUUUCACUUGCAGAUGCCAGUGCAGAUGUCAGAGUGGUGGAGA
Molecule: long non-coding RNA, 1542 nt
Organism: Clupea harengus (Atlantic herring)
Lineage: Eukaryota; Metazoa; Chordata; Actinopteri; Clupeiformes; Clupeidae
Source: Ensembl